This 107-nucleotide non-coding RNA is filed under the name Candidatus Megamonas gallistercoris. Its description in RNAcentral is "FMN riboswitch (RFN element)". It matches the Rfam family "FMN riboswitch aptamer (RFN element)". From Rfam's summary of the family: The RFN element is a highly conserved domain that is found frequently in the 5'-untranslated regions of prokaryotic mRNAs that encode for flavin mononucleotide (FMN) biosynthesis and transport proteins. This element is a metabolite-dependent riboswitch that directly binds FMN in the absence of proteins. The record is from RNAcentral. Lineage: Bacteria; Bacillati; Bacillota; Negativicutes; Selenomonadales; Selenomonadaceae. RNAcentral also lists the same sequence under 1 other name.
GUCUUUGGGGCAGGGUGCAAUUCCCUACCGGCGGUUACAGCCCGCGAGCUUUAAGCAUGAUUUGGUGAAAUUCCGAAGCCGACAGUACAGUCUGGAUGAGAAAAGAU